This 446-nucleotide ribosomal RNA is filed under the name uncultured bacterium. RNAcentral's name for it is "SSU rRNA". It matches the Rfam family "Bacterial small subunit ribosomal RNA", at positions 26 to 518 of the family's 1533-position model. The record is from RNAcentral.
AGAACGAACGCUGGCGGCAUGCCUAACACAUGCAAGUCGAACGAGACCUUCGGGUCUAGUGGCGCACGGGUGCGUAACGCGUGGGAAUCUGCCCUUGGGUACGGAAUAACAGUGAGAAAUUACUGCUAAUACCGUAUGAUGUCUUCGGACCAAAGAUUUAUCGCCCAGGGAUGAGCCCGCGUUGGAUUAGCUAGUUGGUGGGGUAAAGGCCUACCAAGGCGACGAUCCAUAGCUGGUCUGAGAGGAUGAUCAGCCACACUGGGACUGAGACACGGCCCAGACUCCUACGGGAGGCAGCAGUGGGGAAUAUUGGACAAUGGGCGAAAGCCUGAUCCAGCAAUGCCGCGUGAGUGAAGAAGGCCUUCGGGUUGUAAAGCUCUUUUACCCGGGAAGAUAAUGACUGUACCGGGAGAAUAAGCCCCGGCUAACUCCGUGCCAGCAGCCGC